This is a long non-coding RNA of Sorex araneus (European shrew), 2428 nucleotides long. RefSeq lists it as uncharacterized. The record is from RefSeq and is a predicted model, not a curated record. The transcript has 3 exons. NCBI's taxonomy places the organism in Eukaryota, Metazoa, Chordata, Mammalia, Eulipotyphla, Soricidae.
GGGGGCCCACACUUGCGUCCAUGCGCACGGCCCAACCAGCACUGACAAACGCAGAACAGGCGACAGGAAAGGCAAGUCUGUUCCACCACUGGCGCCGGGAACGGGGAGUCCCGUGCAGUCACGAGACCAGGCCCCGCCCCCUGAGUGGAAAAUAAACUCGGGAGUGUGUGAAAGCUGGCAGCGGGGGACUGGCAGAGUCUGGAAGGCAGCGAGGGCGAGGGCGGAGGUCCAGAGCCAUGACGGCAGCGCGGGCUGAUGCAGAGAGCCCAGUGCGAGCCAGGGUGCGAGCCGGACGGUGCCCCUCGGGGCCCUGCACUGCGCAGAAGCGGACAGACAAGACCCAGCACUGCGGGGACCAGCCCCGGGUGAGCAGGCCUGGUGCAGGGUGCCAGAGAGCACGAGAAACGCAAGAGAAAGAGCCCGGGGCCGGGGGGCCCACAGCCGGGCGGGCCGAGAGCUGCUGCGGACAGCGAGUGCCGGGACGGCAACACUCUGGGCGGUACCGACCCAGUCGCCAUCGGGACCAGCGGGGCAGACCUUUACCGACCCGAGGGCUCCAGCUCAGCAACUCGAAGGGCUUUCUCCGGGGGAAGCUCUCCCGGGAGGGGGGCAGAGACGGGGAACUCUGGCCCUGCCAGUUCCAGCAUCUGGGGUCUGGUUCCCAGCGUGAAACAAGGCGGGUCAGGGCGGCACCUACCGCGCUGGGGUGAGGGUCCGGCCGGAAGCCGGCCCCAGGGAGCCGGGGCCAGGCCGGGGGUCAGUGUCCAGGCUGGGCUGGCUCAGGCAGCCCCUGCACUCGCCUCCUGAGGCGUGGCUCCCUGCCACCCCCACAGCCCCGACCCUCCCCGCCAGAGCCCCCCCUGCUCUGGCCUGUGCCUGCCUCCUGCAGCCACAGGCCCAACCCGCUCCUCCUCGCUCCCAGGUCCGGAAACUCCAGACCCCACUGUCCCAGGCCCGUACCCGGACACUCUGCCGACCCCCAGAGCUGAGCCCCCUGGCCCGAGGGGCAGGAGACGCCUCCGGUGGCCGGCAGUCCCGGCUGCAGGGAUGAGGCGUGCGUCGGGGGGGUGAGUGUGCGCCAGGCAAGCAGAGGGCCCUGUCUUUCGGCCCUGGGCCCAGGCGCACAGCACGGCUGGGCGUGACAGAGAGUUUAAGAGAAAAGAUAUUUUCUCUUAAUAUCCCCCCCCGCCCCUCCUCCCAGCCCCCACCGAGAAGGCUCAGCUGGUACGGCUGAGAUCACACAGGGGCUGGGCAGGAGUGGGGGGCCCAGACCAGGGGGUCCCGGCGGCCUCUUCAGUGACCCACCACACACGUGGUACCCCAGCUCCCGGCCACCCCCGGGUAUUCCCACGCUCCAAAGUAAGGUGGGAGAGGAUCUGUCAGGGGUCUCAGCAGCGAAUGGAAGAAGCCAGCUGAUGGCAAAGCCGCUGGCCAGACCCACACACCUGGGCCCCGGGAGCCCUGACCCUGUCCUGGAAGGACUCCGUCCCUCCCCUCCCAGGGCUCCUUCCUCCUUCCUCUUCCUCUCCAGAGCAGACUCUACCCUGGGGGGAUGACGCUGGGAGUAGCCCAAGAGAUCAAUCUCUGAGCCCAAGGCUCAGAGCUGUGUCCCCACCUCCUCCCCCCGCACCCGGUCGUCCGGUCCCUGCCAGGUCCCGCAGGGGUGAGAAAACGUUCUAGAAGUCCAUAUCACGCACUCCUCUCCCCUCCCGCAUCAGGUCCUGGUCCUGGCCUUCACCCCCCUGCACCCUGAGCGAACCACGCCCCCCGCCGUGAGCUGGCGCGCAUCCACCUCCGCAUGGGCAAGGGGAACCGGCAGCCGAGCCCCGCGGGAGCGCGGCGUCACUCCCGCAGAGGGCUCCGCGCCGGGAACUUUCCCGGAGGGGCUGGGGGCGCCCGCGGGGAUGCCCACGCCAGGGCCGGCGCGAGCCGGCGGCCACCGGCACUCCAGACGCGGAGGCGAAUGACAGCGGCGCCGGUGAGUUUCCAGGGAGUCUGUGCCAGGAACUCGGGGGUCCCAGACACUCAGCAGGUCAUCGGCACCGACAGCCCAUCCACAAGCCCCGGACUGGCCACGUGCCAGCAGGAGGGUCCCGGGGGACAGUGCCCGACCCUGCUUCCACCGGGAAUGCUCCCUGUCAGGACUCUGCUCAGCGCGUGCCUGUGAAUCGGUGCUCUCCGGAGCAAUGUUUACGCAGCUCAGACAGGCUGAGCGUGGUUGGAGCCAAGACCGGAGAUACGGCGACGGAGAAGGACCCCGGGGAGGGCGCCCCCUCUCGAGUGGCUGGCCCGGGGCCCAGCCCUGCACCCCUCAGAGCCCCACAGACCCCCAGGAGUGACCCCGAGCACCAGUGGGCGAAAGCCCCCCAAACACAUCUACAGAGCUGAGUCGCAGAAACACACUUUCCAACUUACAGGGUCUCCUUCA